AUUGAACGCUGGCGGAAUGCUUUACACAUGCAAGUCGAACGGCAGCACGGACUUCGGUCUGGUGGCGAGUGGCGAACGGGUGAGUAAUACAUCGGAACGCGUCCUGUAAUGGGGGAUAACCUGACGAAAGCCAGGCUAAUACCGCAUACGUCCUGAGGGAGAAAGCGGGGGAUCGCAAGACCUCGCGUUAUAGGAGCGGCCGAUGUCGGAUUAGCUAGUUGGUGGGGUAAAGGCCUACCAAGGCGACGAUCUGUAGCGGGUCUGAGAGGACGGCCCGCCACACUGGGACUGAGACACGGCCCAGACUCCUACGGGAGGCAGCAGUGGGGAAUUUUGGACAAUGGGGGCAACCCUGAUCCAGCCAUUCCGCGUGAGUGAAGAAGGCCUGGUGUAAGCUCUUCGCCGGAGAAUACGUGCGGCCGAUACCCUGUAUGGAUGACGGUACCGGAAGAAGAAGCACCGGCUAACUACGUGCCAGCAG
RNAcentral lists this ribosomal RNA (481 nucleotides) under uncultured bacterium. RNAcentral describes it as "bacterial SSU rRNA". It matches the Rfam family "Bacterial small subunit ribosomal RNA", at positions 29 to 514 of the family's 1533-position model. The record is from RNAcentral.